This 1050-nucleotide ribosomal RNA is filed under the name unidentified archaeon. RNAcentral describes it as "16S ribosomal RNA". The record is from RNAcentral.
UGGGUCUCGCUCGUUACCUGACUUAACAGGAUGCUUCACAGUACGAACUGGCGACGGCCAUGCACCACCUCUCAGCUAAUCCGGUAAAGUCUUCAGCCUGACCUUCAUAUCGCUGUCGCCCCCGGUGAGAUUUCCGGCGUUGAAUCCAAUUAAACCGCAGGCUCCACCCGUUGUAGUGCUCCCCCGCCAAUUCCUUUAAGUUUCAGCCUUGCGGCCAUACUUCCCAGGUGGCUCGCUUCACGGCUUCCCUACGGCACCAAUCACGGUCGCACCGUGACUGACACCUAGCGAGCAUCGUUUACGGCUAGGACUACCCGGGUAUCUAAUCCGGUUCGUGCCCCUAGCUUUCGUCCCUUACCGUCGGACCCGUUCUGGUGAGACGCCUUCGCCACUGGUGGUCCCUCGAGGAUCACAAGAUUUCACCCCUACCCCCAAGGUACCUCUCACCUUCUCCCGGUCCCAAGCCAAACAGUAUCCCCUAGCAGCCUGACAGUUGAGCUGCCAGAUUUCCCAAGGGACUUACCUGGCCGGCUACAGACCCUUUAGACCCAAUAAUAGCGGUUACCACUCGGGCCGCCGGUGUUACCGCGGCGGCUGGCACCGGUCUUGCCCGGCCCUUGCUAACAGAUGCUUUUUAGGCAUCUGGACAGCCAACAUUAUAUGCUGGCACUCGAGAUCCCCUUAUCACGGUUUCCCGCAUUGUAAAGUUUUCGCGCCUGCUGCACCCCGUAGGGCCUGGAUUCGUGUCUCAGAAUCCAUCUCCGGGCUCUUGCUCUCACAACCCGUACCCGUCGUAGGCUAGUAGGUACGUUACACCCACUACAACCCUGAUAGGCCGCAGACCCAUCCUCGGGCGCCGGAGCUUUCGGCCACCGCGCAUUCCAGCAUCGGUGACCUAUCCGGAAUUAUUCCCAGUUUCCCAGGAUUAUGCCGGACCCAAGGGUAGGUUGUCCACGUGUUACUGAGCAGUCCGCCAUGUUCACGAAGAACAUUCAACUCGCAUGGCUUAGUCGAAUCUCGAUAGCAGUAACCUCUGGCAGGAUCAACCGG